RNAcentral lists this ribosomal RNA (273 nucleotides) under uncultured bacterium. Its description in RNAcentral is "partial 16S ribosomal RNA". It matches the Rfam family "Bacterial small subunit ribosomal RNA", at positions 524 to 796 of the family's 1533-position model. The record is from RNAcentral.
UACGUAGGGUGCAGGCGUUAAUCGGAAUUACUGGGCGUAAAGCGUGCGCAGGCGGUUUGUUAAGACAGAUGUGAAAUCCCCGGGCUUAACCUGGGAACUGCGUUUGUAACUGGCAGACUGGAGUGUGGCAGAGGGGGGUGGAAUUCCAAGUGUAGCAGUGAAAUGCGUAGAUAUUUGGAGGAACACCGAUGGCGAAGGCAGCCCCCUGGGCUAACACUGACGCUCAUGCACGAAAGCGUGGGGAGCAAACAGGAUUAGAAACCCCCGUAGUCC